UCCAAGGACAUCACGUGGAGUUAUAUAGCCAGGUAAAAGGAUAUUUAUUUGACUGAAAAACAAGCAGCAUAUGAGAGGAGAGAACAAUUGAACAGUUUUCAGCAUGAAGACAUCUGGAGCUCUACUGGUGCUGCUGUGCGGCUGUUUGGCUGAGACACAGCUUAGAGGAGAGACCCUCAGUGAAAAUGACAUCACCCACCAGGGCCACUAUGGUGAAGCAGAGACCAGAGAAAAUGAGGUUAUGGAUGCAGCACAGAGAACUGAAGCUGCAGCCACAGACUCCUCCACCCAACAAACCUGCCAGCCUGACAUCCACACUGUGCUGAGAGAGAUGAGCAUUCUGAUGACGUAGCAGAGAGUGGAGCUCAGACACACUAAGACACAAAUGGAGGCCAUGGAGACCAGACUGAGAGCCAGUGAGAAGACAGCAGAGGAGCAAAGAGUGGAGCUCAGACACACUAAGACACAAAUGGAGGCCAUGGAGAAGAAAGCAGAAACUAUGGAGACCAGACUAACUGCCAGUGAGAAGACAGUGAUGAUCAUGGAGACCUGACUGCUCCUCCACUGUCUCAUGGAGAAGACAAUGGAGGAGCAGAGAGCUGUUAUUCAGCAGCUGAAGGAGAAACAGGAGGAGCAUGCAGCAGCUGUGAGAGCUGUAGGAGGCAGUGUGAACCUGACGGGGAGCCAGGUCGAGGAGCUGAGGAGGGAGAGAGAUGAGAGGAGGGUGUCUUUCUCUGCCUCACUGCUAGCAUCAUAGCAGUGGAAAUACAGGCCCCUUUUCAGCAGCAACACCCCUGGUCUACAGACACAUCUUCACUAAUGUUGGCAAUUCCUACAACCCAAACACAGGGGUGUUUACAGCUCCAGUCAGAAGAGCACUUUAUGGUGUUUCUUCAUGCUGUUGGUCAUGUAUCUACGGUUGGAGGUGUCACUGUUUUUAAAAACAGAGAGCCUGUUUUCAAUGCUAAAAGUCAUCAGCCAACAUACCAGGUGAAUCCCUCUAAUGGAACUUCUCUGCUGCUGGAGGUGGGAGAUGUGAUCUAUGUCAAGCUGUGGGCCAAUGCGUGGGUGUAUGACGAUGGUCACCACUACACCACCUUCUCUGGCCACCUGCUCUUCCCCAUGUGAGGAGUCAGUAUUUAAUCAUCACAGGAAUAAUCUACAAGAUAAAGUACAAACAAGAGUCUUAAGAGAUACUGUUAUAAAGCGACACAGACUCUCAACAGCAGGUACAGGAAUCAAACUCAAGCUGACUGAUUGUAAGGCAUUGACACAACUGCUGCUCCCCCACACCCACACACAAAAGAUACACAUCAGCAUCACACACACAGACACUACAGCAGUGCUAAUCAAACUACACACACACACACACACACACACACACACACACACCACACAGAAGAUACACAUCAGCAUCACACCCAGACACUACAGAAGUGUUAAUCAAACUACACACCCACACACACACCACAGAAGAUACAUAUCAGCAUCACCCACACCGACUACAGUUGGGUCAUUGCAGCACUACUUUCUAAUUCCUAAUCUAAUUCCUAAUUCUAAUUUUGACUGAUAACAUUGCUAAUUGGAUUACUGUUUGGUUUAUUGUGUUUAUCAAUAUUAUUAGACAUUUUGUAAUACAUUUUUGUAAGUAAUUAAAAUGCUUUGUUAUGAAAACAA
This is a long non-coding RNA of Alosa alosa (allis shad), 1677 nucleotides long. RefSeq lists it as uncharacterized. The record is from RefSeq and is a predicted model, not a curated record. The transcript has 2 exons. NCBI's taxonomy places the organism in Eukaryota, Metazoa, Chordata, Actinopteri, Clupeiformes, Clupeidae.